RNAcentral lists this ribosomal RNA (439 nucleotides) under uncultured Anoxybacillus sp. Its description in RNAcentral is "bacterial SSU rRNA". It matches the Rfam family "Bacterial small subunit ribosomal RNA", at positions 943 to 1382 of the family's 1533-position model. Lineage: Bacteria; Bacillati; Bacillota; Bacilli; Caryophanales; Anoxybacillaceae. The record is from RNAcentral.
GGUUUAAUUCGAAGCAACGCGAAGAACCUUACCAGGUCUUGACAUCCCCUGACAACCCGAGAGAUCGGCGUUCCCCUUCGGGGGACAGGGUGACAGGUGGUGCAUGGUUGUCGUCAGCUCGUGUCGUGAGAUGUUGGGUUAAGUCCCGCAACGAGCGCAACCCUCGACCUUAGUUGCCAGCAUUCAGUUGGGCACUCUAAGGUGACUGCCGGCUAAAAGUCGGAGGAAGGUGGGGAUGACGUCAAAUCAUCAUGCCCCUUAUGACCUGGGCUACACACGUGCUACAAUGGGCGGUACAAAGGGUCGCGAACCCGCGAGGGGGAGCCAAUCCCAAAAAGCCGCUCUCAGUUCGGAUUGGAGUCUGCAACUCGACUCCAUGAAGUUGGAAUCGCUAGUAAUCGCGGAUCAGCACGCCGCGGUGAAUACGUUCCCGGGCCUU